RNAcentral lists this unclassified non-coding RNA (719 nucleotides) under Hevea brasiliensis (rubber tree). Lineage: Eukaryota; Viridiplantae; Streptophyta; Magnoliopsida; Malpighiales; Euphorbiaceae. The record is from RNAcentral.
AAAUAGGACUGAAAGAACCAUAAUGGGAUCGAAACGAAGGACCAAUAUUGAUAACAUCUAAGCUUUUGGGGUCAAAUGAAUCAGUCGAAAUACGGUAUUGGAAAGCUUUGUAUUCAUGGGUAUGAAUCAGUUGUUCCUGAGAAGGCGUCGAUAACAGAAGGAACAAAGAUGGUGGCAGCGAAAGUGGAUACGGAGAAUUUUGAGGGGUAAAAGAGUGAGAAACAGAGGAAGAGAGAGAAAUGGUGGUAGUAGAAUCCUUCAGAGAGGGUCUCAAAGGGGUUUUCCGUCGACCGGAAAACCACCCUAGAAGGACGCAGGAAGGGUCCUCACGGUGCUUAUGCUGUAAAGGGAGGGGAAAGUGAGAAGGGAUGGAGAGGAAAUCGGUGAUGGUGGCGGUAAGAGUUGGUCCAUCAGCGCCGGAAGAUGAGGCGGAGUUCAUGGCGGUUACUGAGGAGAAAUUGGACGCGAGGUCAUCGGAGAGAGAGAUGGUGGUGGAGAAUGACACGUGGCCGAAGAGUAAACCGUGGAUGUCACCGGAAGAUGAGAAAAAACGGUGGAGAACGGAGGCUAGAGUAGUACCGGAGAUUUGAAUCUUGUGUAUAUGGUGAUCGUCCAUGAUUUACGAUGAUACCGAGAUUGGUUAUCUGAGGAUCGCCGGCGCCGGCGUAUUUGUUAAUUGGGGCGGUACCAAAUCCAAAUGGAAACCCCUUAAAUGCAAA